CCUACGGGAGGCAGCAGUGGGGGAUAUUGCACAAUGGGGGAAACCCUGAUGCAGCGACGCCGCGUGUGGGAAGACGGUCCUCUGGAUUGUAAACCACUGUCCCCAGGGACGAAGAUGACGGUACCUGGGGAGGAAGCUCCGGCUAACUACGUGCCAGCAGCCGCGGUAAUACGUAGGGAGCGAGCGUUGUCCGGAAUUACUGGGUGUAAAGGGCGCGUAGGCGGGACUGCAAGUUGGGUGUCAAAUCUACGGGCUCAACCGGUAGCCGCACUCAAAACUGCAGUUCUUGAGUGAAGUAGAGGCAGGCGGAAUUCCUAGUGUAGCGGUGAAAUGCGUAGAUAUUAGGAGGAACACCAGUGGCGAAGGCGGCCUGCUGGGCUUUUACUGACGCUGAGGCUCGAAAGUGUGGGGAGCAAACAGGAUUAGAUACCCCGGUAGUC
This 440-nucleotide ribosomal RNA is filed under the name uncultured bacterium. Its description in RNAcentral is "partial 16S ribosomal RNA". It matches the Rfam family "Bacterial small subunit ribosomal RNA", at positions 338 to 795 of the family's 1533-position model. The record is from RNAcentral.